AUUUCUUGGAAAGCUCUCGCAUCGCCAAAAGUUCAGGGGGGAAUGGGUUUUCGUGACAUGGGGUUGUUCAACCUAGCACUCCUUAGGAAGCAUGGGUGGAGGCUUAUGGUUAUCCCAGAUUCAUUAUGCGCCCGGGUGUUGAAGGGUCGACACUUUCCAGAUUCAGAUUUUUUGCACGCUACAGUGCCGAAGUCAGCCUCUCCAGUUUGGCGGGCAAUUGUGGCGGGACGCGAGGCUCUUCAGGCGGGUCUGCUCAUGCGUGUUGGUAAUGGAAGAUCUAUCUCUAUUUGGGAGGAUAAGUGGAUUCCA
RNAcentral lists this ribosomal RNA (309 nucleotides) under Triticum aestivum (bread wheat). RNAcentral's name for it is "partial small subunit ribosomal RNA". Lineage: Eukaryota; Viridiplantae; Streptophyta; Magnoliopsida; Poales; Poaceae. The record is from RNAcentral.